Molecule: ribosomal RNA, 482 nt
Filed under: uncultured Curtobacterium sp.
Lineage: Bacteria; Bacillati; Actinomycetota; Actinomycetes; Micrococcales; Microbacteriaceae
Description: bacterial SSU rRNA
Rfam family: Bacterial small subunit ribosomal RNA
Source: RNAcentral
UUAAAAGGAAUUGACGGGGCCCGCACAAGCGGCGGAGCAUGCGGAUUAAUUCGAUGCAACGCGAAGAACCUUUACCAAGGCUUGACAUACACCGGUAACGCCCAGAGAUGGGUGCCCCUUUGUGGUCGGUGUACAGGUGGUGCAUGGUUGUCGUCAGCUCGUGUCGUGAGAUGUUGGGUUAAGUCCCGCAACGAGCGCAACCCUCGUCCUAUGUUGCCAGCGGGUCAUGCCGGGGACUCAUGGGAGACUGCCGGGGUCAACUCGGAGGAAGGUGGGGAUGACGUCAAAUCAUCAUGCCCCUUAUGUCUUGGGCUUCACGCAUGCUACAAUGGCCGGUACAAAGGGCUGCGAUACCGCGAGGUGGAGCGAAUCCCAGAAAGCCGGUCUCAGUUCGGAUUGGGGUCUGCAACUCGACCCCAUGAAGUCGGAGUCGCUAGUAAUCGCAGAUCAGCCAUGCCGCGGUGAAUACGUUCCCGGGCCUU